AAGGCACUUUUGUUACCCAGAAGUCAGGCACUUAUAAAGGCUAUUUCUAUUACUUUUGCUUGUCAUCAGUUCAUUUCAGGAAAUAUAACAGCUCAACUUUCAACUGAAGAAGAGAAAGUGAAGAACUGAACAAUAUAAAAAGCGUGCUCUCCUCUGCUAUACUUACACAUCCACAUUUACCCUCCGUUUAGGGCAAGUUGGGAGCCCUGGGGUGGAAGAAGAACUGUUUAUAGAGGAGAGCUGAGGGUCUGUAGUUCAUGGCAAAGCUCCCAACAAUCUGGGCCAUAGCUGUUCAGACUUGGAAAGCACAUGAAAUUGGAGAUCACUGCUGCAGCUCAUGCUUCAACAGGGUAUGGAUUCAUGGAAAAUAUUAAUGAUUAACCUAAACUUAAGCAAUACAAUGAGAGGUUGUUACUUUGUACUGGCCAUCUUUGACUUGAUCCUCUAUACAAAUCCCAUGAAGAAUGAGUAUAAAGAAAAAGAAAAUGAUUGUUUCAUUUACAGGAAAUUUGGACACACAAAGAAAUCCAGGGAUGUCUAUGCACAGAGAAAAGGCCAAGUGAUAACACAGUGAGAAGGUGGCCAUCUGCAAGCCAACCAGAGUCCUAGGGAGAAGCCAGACCUGUUGACACCUUGACCCUGGAUUUCACAGCCUUUGGAAUUGUGAGAAAAUAAAUUUCUGUUGUUUAAGGCACCAAAUCUGAGAAAACAAAUUUCUGUUGUUUAAACCACCAAAUCUGUAGUAUUUUCUUAUGACAGUCCUAACAAAUUAAUACACAAUUUGAAUAAAUUAA
This is a long non-coding RNA of Sapajus apella (tufted capuchin), 794 nucleotides long. RefSeq lists it as uncharacterized. Lineage: Eukaryota; Metazoa; Chordata; Mammalia; Primates; Cebidae. The transcript is spliced from 2 exons. The record is from RefSeq and is a predicted model, not a curated record.